CCCUUAGAUGUUCUGGGCCGCACGCGUGCUACACUGACCGGCGCAACAAGCUUUUUUCCUUGGCUCGACAGGCCUGGGUAAUCUUCGAACGCCGGUCGUGAUGGGGAUAGAUCAUUGCAAUUAUUAAUCUUGAACGAGGAAUUCCUAGUAAACGCAGUUCAUCAAACUGCAUUGAUUACGUCCCUGCCCUUUGUACACACCGCCCGUCGCACCUACCGAUUGAAUGGUCCGGUGAAGCCUCGGGAUUGUGGCUGGUUUCCUUUAUUGGAGGUCGGUCGCGAGAACUUGUCUAAACCUUAUCAUUUAGAGGAAGGUGAAGUCGUAACA
This 327-nucleotide ribosomal RNA is filed under the name uncultured eukaryote. RNAcentral's name for it is "partial 18S ribosomal RNA". It matches the Rfam family "Eukaryotic small subunit ribosomal RNA", at positions 1470 to 1796 of the family's 1831-position model. The record is from RNAcentral.